This 376-nucleotide ribosomal RNA is filed under the name uncultured bacterium. Its description in RNAcentral is "bacterial SSU rRNA". It matches the Rfam family "Bacterial small subunit ribosomal RNA", at positions 524 to 898 of the family's 1533-position model. The record is from RNAcentral.
AACGUAGGUGGCAAGCGUUAUCCGGAUUUACUGGGCGUAAAGCAUGUGCAGACGGGUUGGUAAGUGGUGUAUGAAAGCGUCCGGCUUAACCGGGCAAGCGUAGGCCAGACUGCCAGUCUUGAGAGUGGGAGAGGGAUGUGGAAUUCCGGGUGUAGUGGUGAAAUGCGUAGAGAUCCGGAGGAACCCCAGAGGCGAAGGCGGCGUCCUGGCCCAUUUCUGACGUUCAGACAUGACAGCAUGGGGAGCGAACGGGAUUAGAAACCCCGGUAGUCCAUGCCGUAAACGAUGUCGACUAGGCGCUGGGCGGGUAAUACCGCGCGGUGCCGCAGCUAACGCGAUAAGUCGACCGCCUGGGGACUACGACCGCAAGGUUAAA